RNAcentral lists this ribosomal RNA (465 nucleotides) under Vreelandella stevensii. Its description in RNAcentral is "partial 16S ribosomal RNA". It matches the Rfam family "Bacterial small subunit ribosomal RNA", at positions 338 to 795 of the family's 1533-position model. Lineage: Bacteria; Pseudomonadati; Pseudomonadota; Gammaproteobacteria; Oceanospirillales; Halomonadaceae. The record is from RNAcentral.
CCUACGGGCGGCAACAGUGGGGAAUAUUGGACAAUGGGGGGAACCCUGAUCCAGCCAUGCCGCGUGUGUGAAGAAGGCCCUCGGGUUGUAAAGCACUUUCAGUGAGGAAGAACGCCUGGUGGUUAAUACCCAUCAGGAAAGACAUCACUCACAGAAGAAGCACCGGCUAACUCCGUGCCAGCAGCCGCGGUAAUACGGAGGGUGCGAGCGUUAAUCGGAAUUACUGGGCGUAAAGCGCGCGUAGGUGGCUUGAUAAGCCGGUUGUGAAAGCCCCGGGCUCAACCUGGGAACGGCAUCCGGAACUGUCAAGCUAGAGUGCAGGAGAGGAAGGUAGAAUUCCCGGUGUAGCGGUGAAAUGCGUAGAGAUCGGGAGGAAUACCAGUGGCGAAGGCGGCCUUCUGGACUGACACUGACACUGAGGUGCGAAAGCGUGGGUAGCAAACAGGAUUAGAUACCCCGGUAGUC